This 69-nucleotide transfer RNA is filed under the name Rattus norvegicus (Norway rat). It matches the Rfam family "tRNA". From Rfam's summary of the family: Transfer RNA (tRNA) molecules are approximately 80 nucleotides in length. Their secondary structure includes four short double-helical elements and three loops (D, anti-codon, and T loops). Lineage: Eukaryota; Metazoa; Chordata; Mammalia; Rodentia; Muridae. The record is from Rfam by way of RNAcentral.
GGGGAUUUAGUUCAGUGGUAGAGCGCUUGCCUAGCAAGCGCAAGGUCCUGGGUUCAGUUCCCAGCUCCG